Molecule: ribosomal RNA, 468 nt
Filed under: uncultured bacterium
Lineage: Bacteria
Description: partial 16S ribosomal RNA
Rfam family: Bacterial small subunit ribosomal RNA
Source: RNAcentral
GACGAACGCUGGCGGCGUGCUUAACACAUGCAAGUCGAACGGAAAGGCCCUGCUUUUGUGGGGUGCUCGAGUGGCGAACGGGUGAGUAACACGUGAGUAACCUGCCCUUGACUUUGGGAUAACUUCAGGAAACUGGGGCUAAUACCGGAUAGGAGCUCCUGCUGCAUGGUGGGGGUUGGAAAGUUUCGGCGGUUGGGGAUGGACUCGCGGCUUAUCAGCUUGUUGGUGGGGUAGUGGCUUACCAAGGCUUUGACGAGUAGCCGGCCUGAGAGGGUGACCGGCCACAUUGGGACUGAGAUACGGCCCAGACUCCUACGGGAGGCAGCAGUGGGGAAUAUUGCACAAUGGGCGGAAGCCUGAUGCAGCAACGCCGCGUGCGGGAUGACGGCCUUCGGGUUGUAAACCGCUUUCGCCUGUGACGAAGCGUGAGUGACGGUAAUGGGUAAAGGAGCACCGGCUAACUACGUG